AUACGGAGGAUCCGAGCGUUAUCCGGAUUUAUUGGGUUUAAAGGGUGCGCAGGCGGCCAUUUAAGUCAGCGGUUAAAUCGUGGGGCUCAACCCCAUUCUGCCGUUGAUACUGGGUGGCUUGAUUGCGGUCGAGGUUGGCGGAAUUCGUUGUGUAGCGGUGAAAUGCAUAGAUAUGACGAAGAACACCGAUUGCGUAGGCAGCUGACCAGACCGCAAAUGACGCUCAUGCACGAAAGUGCGGGGAUCGAACAGGAUUAGAUACCCUGGUAGUCCGCACAGUAAACGAUGAAUACUCGCUGUUUGCGAUACACUGUAAGCGGCCAAGCGAAAGCGUUAAGUAUUCCACCUGGGGAGUACGCCGGCAACGGUGAAACUCAAAGGAAUUGACGGGG
RNAcentral lists this ribosomal RNA (392 nucleotides) under uncultured bacterium. RNAcentral describes it as "partial 16S ribosomal RNA". It matches the Rfam family "Bacterial small subunit ribosomal RNA", at positions 523 to 918 of the family's 1533-position model. The record is from RNAcentral.